GACGAACGCCGGCGGCGUGCUUAACACAUGCAAGUCGAACGAAGAGCGAUGGAAGCUUGCUUCUAUCAAUCUUAGUGGCGAACGGGUGAGUAACGCGUAAUCAACCUGCCCUUCAGAGGGGGACAACAGUUGGAAACGACUGCUAAUACCGCAUACGAUCUAAUCUCGGCAUCGAGGAUAGAUGAAAGGUGGCCUCUACAUGUAAGCUAUCACUGAAGGAGGGGAUUGCGUCUGAUUAGCUAGUUGGAGGGGUAACGGCCCACCAAGGCGAUGAUCAGUAGCCGGUCUGAGAGGAUGAACGGCCACAUUGGGACUGAGACACGGCCCAGACUCCUACGGGAGGCAGCAGUGGGGAAUCUUCCGCAAUGGACGAAAGUCUGACGGAGCAACGCCGCGUGAGUGAUGACGGCCUUCGGGUUGUAAAGCUCUGUUAAUCGGGACGAAAGGCCUUCUUGCGAAUAUUCAGAAGGAUAGAC
This 476-nucleotide ribosomal RNA is filed under the name Veillonella parvula. RNAcentral describes it as "bacterial SSU rRNA". It matches the Rfam family "Bacterial small subunit ribosomal RNA", at positions 28 to 473 of the family's 1533-position model. Lineage: Bacteria; Bacillati; Bacillota; Negativicutes; Veillonellales; Veillonellaceae. The record is from RNAcentral.